This 655-nucleotide long non-coding RNA is filed under the name Equus caballus (horse). RNAcentral's name for it is "lncRNA (ENSECAG00000053458.1)". The record is from RNAcentral. Lineage: Eukaryota; Metazoa; Chordata; Mammalia; Perissodactyla; Equidae.
AUUUUGGAGCCUACUGAUGUCCACUGGCCCAUCCUCAGAGGACUGGAAGCUUCCCUAUCUCUAUGCUUACCUCAACCUCGUCACACCCGUCUCCAGAACUCCACUCAGGCCCUGCUGCUCCUCCCACCUGUACGGUUUGCAUUCACGGUGUGCGGUCCCGAGGCCCUGGUGGGCAGCUCAGAGUCAGUGGGAAGUGGGAUGUCAGCAGGCUUGUCUGGGAGCUGCUGCCUCUGUGAAGGAGCUGGGCUUGGCGAGCAGCAGACAUCACCCACAAGGCCUCAUCCCAGCCCGGCCACAGGGGCUCCAAAGAAAUCACAAGAUAACACAGCUGCAGCCUGUUCCUGCCACUGUCUCUUUCUGUCCCCUCGAGCCUGCCCCAGCCAGCCCACCACCAUGAUGGGUAGUGAUGGGCGAGUGGGAGGAAGCGAAGAGCUGGAGCAACCUGUCAGCAGAGAGGCCGGCAGAACAGACUUCUAGGGGCCGACCCUGUGGCCGAGUGGUUAAGUUCACGUGCUCCACUGCAGGCAGCCCAGUGUUUCGUCAGUUCGAAUCCUGCUCAUCGAGCCAUGCUGAGGCGGGAUCCCACAUGCCACAACUAGAAGGACCCACACCUAAGAAUAUACAACUAUGUACCUGAGGGCUUUGGGGAGAAAAA